CCGCGGAACACUCUGCUUUUCGAGUAGAGCUCUCUUCCUGGAGGAGCUCAGCCGUCUAACCCUUGGAACACGUGGCUUCCUGGUGACACAGAAAGAAGGGGUCGGAGAGUGAGAGGGAUUUCUCCUCUCAGAAGGAACGCGGGUCCCAGGGCCCUGGUUAGGACUGUUCACAGGGCCACACCUGACCGCAAGGAGGAAGGAAGGUGGUCUUCCCUGUACCCAGGAAGAAGAAGGCCCCAGAGGGUUAGCACCGCUGUCCACUGCCACGGCACCGGUGGUUGUACCCCGGAGCUGGCAUGCACCUACACAGUGCACCAGCUACCUGCUGCUGCAGAACAAAGCAACCCCAGAUGCGGUUUCUUAGAACAAUCCUUUCUUAACACACAGCCCUGCAGGCCGCAGGUAGGCAGGACUCAGCAGGGUGGCUCUCUGCAGGUGUCAGCUGACCGUUGGCCCCGGGCAUGGGCUGGCUCCUCUCGUGCUCCUGCAGGCUACCCAGGCUUGUUCCCAUACUGAGGGAGGAGAACAGAAACCAGCAAGGGCCCAGGGUCAAGGCUUGAAAGCAGCGUGCUGUCCCUCCUGCUGCUGUCUCUUGGCCAAAGCAAGUCACAAGAGCUCCCGUAUUCAGAGGGCCCACCUACUGAUGGCAGGAAAUGCAGUCACCUAGCCAAGUGCCUGGUGACCGGGACGCCAUGACAUGGAGGCUGUCAAUGCCAUCCACCCCAGCAUAGGACCCUGACUGCCUUCUGUGACCAGGAUACCAUAGGCUGCCCAGGGCAGCAGAAGCCCAGCCCUGAUGGGCUGUGACAACGCUACAAAAAUCAAGACCAGAGAGUCAGGUCAUGAUGGAGGUGGAAGGGCAGGUGAGCGUCUCCAAUCCUCAAGGGCCCCGUGUCCCCAUUACUGGUUGAUAAGUUUAAGUCAUCUCUCUUUUCCUGAGCCAUUUGACCCAAUAAGACCUGUUCUACUCGGUCCAAACAAUUGGGGUGGUCCCUCCUAGAGAAGGUCACUAGGGCAAGGCAGGUGUCACCUGAAAUGCCAAGGUGCCCAUCUCCAGCACUGAUCUCAAAAGCCAGGCUUGACCCUAGAAAC
Molecule: long non-coding RNA, 1092 nt
Filed under: Marmota monax (woodchuck)
Lineage: Eukaryota; Metazoa; Chordata; Mammalia; Rodentia; Sciuridae
Source: RNAcentral